This 2648-nucleotide ribosomal RNA is filed under the name Klebsiella aerogenes. Its description in RNAcentral is "partial 23S ribosomal RNA". It matches the Rfam family "Bacterial large subunit ribosomal RNA". The record is from RNAcentral. Lineage: Bacteria; Pseudomonadati; Pseudomonadota; Gammaproteobacteria; Enterobacterales; Enterobacteriaceae.
CACUAUCGUUAACUGAAUACAUAGGUUAACGAGGCGAACCGGGGGAACUGAAACAUCUAAGUACCCCGAGGAAAAGAAAUCAACCGAGAUUCCCCCAGUAGCGGCGAGCGAACGGGGAGCAGCCCAGAGUCUGAAUCAGCUUGUGUGUUAGUGGAACGGUCUGGAAAGUCCGACGGUACAGGGUGAUAGUCCCGUACACCAAAAUGCACAGGUUGUGAACUCGAAGAGUAGGGCGGGACACGUGGUAUCCUGUCUGAAUAUGGGGGGACCAUCCUCCAAGGCUAAAUACUCCUGACUGACCGAUAGUGAACCAGUACCGUGAGGGAAAGGCGAAAAGAACCCCGGCGAGGGGAGUGAAAAAGAACCUGAAACCGUGUACGUACAAGCAGUGGGAGCACCUUCGGGUGUGACUGCGUACCUUUUGUAUAAUGGGUCAGCGACUUAUAUUCUGUAGCAAGGUUAACCGUAUAGGGGAGCCGCAGGGAAACCGAGUCUUAACUGGGCGUUAAGUUGCAGGGUAUAGACCCGAAACCCGGUGAUCUAGCCAUGGGCAGGUUGAAGGUUGGGUAACACUAACUGGAGGACCGAACCGACUAAUGUUGAAAAAUUAGCGGAUGACUUGUGGCUGGGGGUGAAAGGCCAAUCAAACCGGGAGAUAGCUGGUUCUCCCCGAAAGCUAUUUAGGUAGCGCCUCGUGAACUCAUCUUCGGGGGUAGAGCACUGUUUCGGCUAGGGGGUCAUCCCGACUUACCAACCCGAUGCAAACUACGAAUACCGAAGAAUGUUAUCACGGGAGACACACGGCGGGUGCUAACGUCCGUCGUGAAGAGGGAAACAACCCAGACCGCCAGCUAAGGUCCCAAAGUCACAGUUAAGUGGGAAACGAUGUGGGAAGGCACAGACAGCCAGGAUGUUGGCUUAGAAGCAGCCAUCAUUUAAAGAAAGCGUAAUAGCUCACUGGUCGAGUCGGCCUGCGCGGAAGAUGUAACGGGGCUAAACUGUGCACCGAAGCUGCGGCAGCGACACUAUGUGUUGUUGGGUAGGGGAGCGUUCUGUAAGCCUGCGAAGGUGGCCUGUGAGGGUUGCUGGAGGUAUCAGAAGUGCGAAUGCUGACAUAAGUAACGAUAAUGCGGGUGAAAAGCCCGCACGCCGGAAGACCAAGGGUUCCUGUCCAACGUUAAUCGGGGCAGGGUGAGUCGACCCCUAAGGCGAGGCCGAAAGGCGUAGUCGAUGGGAAACAGGUUAAUAUUCCUGUACUUGGUGUUACUGCGAAGGGGGGACGGAGAAGGCUAUGUUAGCCGGGCGACGGUUGUCCCGGUUUAAGCAUGUAGGCGGAGGUUCCAGGUAAAUCCGGUACCUUUUAACGCUGAGGUGUGAUGACGAGGCACUACGGUGCUGAAGUAACAAAUGCCCUGCUUCCAGGAAAAGCCUCUAAGCAUCAGGUAACAUUAAAUCGUACCCCAAACCGACACAGGUGGUCAGGUAGAGAAUACCAAGGCGCUUGAGAGAACUCGGGUGAAGGAACUAGGCAAAAUGGUGCCGUAACUUCGGGAGAAGGCACGCUGAUAUGUAGGUGAAGCCCCUGCGGGUGGAGCUGAAAUCAGUCGAAGAUACCAGCUGGCUGCAACUGUUUAUUAAAAACACAGCACUGUGCAAACACGAAAGUGGACGUAUACGGUGUGACGCCUGCCCGGUGCCGGAAGGUUAAUUGAUGGGGUUAUCCGUAAGGAGAAGCUCUUGAUCGAAGCCCCGGUAAACGGCGGCCGUAACUAUAACGGUCCUAAGGUAGCGAAAUUCCUUGUCGGGUAAGUUCCGACCUGCACGAAUGGCGUAAUGAUGGCCAGGCUGUCUCCACCCGAGACUCAGUGAAAUUGAACUCGCUGUGAAGAUGCAGUGUACCCGCGGCAAGACGGAAAGACCCCGUGAACCUUUACUAUAGCUUGACACUGAACAUUGAGCCUUGAUGUGUAGGAUAGGUGGGAGGCUUUGAAGCGUGGACGCCAGUCUGCGUGGAGCCAACCUUGAAAUACCACCCUUUAAUGUUUGAUGUUCUAACGUUGGCCCCUUAUCGGGGUUGCGGACAGUGUCUGGUGGGUAGUUUGACUGGGGCGGUCUCCUCCCAAAGAGUAACGGAGGAGCACGAAGGUUAGCUAAUCCUGGUCGGACAUCAGGAGGUUAGUGCAAUGGCAUAAGCUAGCUUGACUGCGAGCGUGACGGCGCGAGCAGGUGCGAAAGCAGGUCAUAGUGAUCCGGUGGUUCUGAAUGGAAGGGCCAUCGCUCAACGGAUAAAAGGUACUCCGGGGAUAACAGGCUGAUACCGCCCAAGAGUUCAUAUCGACGGCGGUGUUUGGCACCUCGAUGUCGGCUCAUCACAUCCUGGGGCUGAAGUAGGUCCCAAGGGUAUGGCUGUUCGCCAUUUAAAGUGGUACGCGAGCUGGGUUUAGAACGUCGUGAGACAGUUCGGUCCCUAUCUGCCGUGGGCGCUGGAGAAUUGAGGGGGGCUGCUCCUAGUACGAGAGGACCGGAGUGGACGCAUCACUGGUGUUCGGGUUGUCAUGCCAAUGGCAUUGCCCGGUAGCUAAAUGCGGAAGAGAUAAGUGCUGAAAGCAUCUAAGCACGAAACUUGCCCCGAGAUGAGUUCUCCCUGA